GACGAACGCUGGCGGCGUGCUUAACACAUGCAAGUCGAGCGGUAAGGCCCUUUCGGGGGUACACGAGCGGCGAACGGGUGAGUAACACGUGGGUGACCUGCCCUCAGCUCUGGGAUAAGCCUGGGAAACCGGGUCUAAUACUGGAUAUGACUCCAUGACGCAUGUUGUGGGGUGGAAAGCCUUGUGCGGCUGAGGAUGGGCCCGCGGCCUAUCAGCUUGUUGGUGGGGUGAUGGCCUACCAAGGCGACGACGGGUAGCCGGCCUGAGAGGGCGACCGGCCACACUGGGACUGAGACACGGCCCAGACUCCUACGGGAGGCAGCAGUGGGGAAUCUUGCGCAAUGGGCGAAAGCCUGACGCAGCGACGCCGCGCGAGGGAUGACGGCCUCGGUGUAA
Molecule: ribosomal RNA, 396 nt
Filed under: uncultured bacterium
Lineage: Bacteria
Description: bacterial SSU rRNA
Rfam family: Bacterial small subunit ribosomal RNA
Source: RNAcentral